GUUUGCAGCAGUUAGGUUUCCUAUCUUCUGGGGAUUCAGAUCGCGUUGGUUUUAGACGACGCUCCCAUGUUGUCCACUUCCCGUAAUUUAGCUGCAGUUGAAGACGAUUUUUGGUUUUGUACAAGAAUGCAGUUGUUAAAAGAGUGGAUCGGUAUGAACAACAUCGAAAGUUUUUAGAGUUUUUUCAUCAAAAUCUACAGUAAAACGAGGAGAUUCAAACAGGGUUGUGUUGUUCUAGGCUGGUAGUUAUACGACGAACUGGUGGUAUGUUCGAUGCCCUUUUCAUCACUGCCGACUUUGGUUUUUCGGUUGCCCCUCAUCCCUCCCGGGUCUAUUGAGCACAGAUUCGUGUAAAAAUCCUUUGGAUGCUGUAAUUGAAGGGCGAAAUUGAAGCGUAACGGGUGAUGACUUUCUGGGUUUAAGUUUUUAUGAAGCGGGAAAAGCUUUAUAUUCUGCAAAACACUUACUGUUCUCGUGAAUUAGAGAAAAUAGGCGAAGAACUUCACUUCACGUAUCAAGUCAUUUGUAUUCAAUUUGGAACAUUAAGCCAUUAAGGUUCUGUUCAUCUUAUAAAGAUAAACCACUAUUCAUCAAUCUACAAAUUUCGGACUAAAAGAACGAAGGUUGGAAGGAGAAGAAUACAUCUCCAUAGUGGACGAAUUGAUGGAAGCCCUUCAUACACGUUGUCCAAAAGCUCUUAUCUAGUUAGAAGAUUUACAAUCCAAGUGGGCUUUUGAGAUUCUUCAAAGAUACAUAAACAAGUACAGGAUUGCCAUGGACUGCAGAGAUGAUGCACGAAAGUCGAAACUGGAAACAUCGGCGCGUGCGCGAGAUGCUAAUUCUUUGGUUGAUUUUCCAUCAAAAAUAGGAGAAGUUGAGGACAUGUUGAGUCGGUUGUUUGCUAUCUGGUUUAGAUCUGUCUCAGUAGCUACAAACACAGAAAAACUAACCCUCGGCAACGACACGGUGGCAAUGGGUGGCGAUGCAGUUUGUUGUGGCGGCGAUGUUCAUCAGAAUCUAACGAGACGGGUAGGGACUUUACUCGUAUUGUCGACCUUUUAGAGUGUUGAGGAAUCAAAGACAUUGAUUAAAAGGCACGGAUUGUCAAAGCUGCAAACAGCGAACCUUAAUUUACAAUCAACACAAAGCUAAUCCAAUCCAAUUGUUAUCCAUUCAAGUGAGCCGCUGGUUGUUAUCCAUCCAACACUGAGGUGAAAUUAUCUAUCUGUGUUUGAUGAAAUGUUAGAUAUGUUCAAAUGGAGCAACUGUCUAAAUUCUCUUUGUUUUAUUUUUUUAUGUUUUCCAAAUGCCUCUUUUCUACUAAUAACUUGUACACUUGUACACAAUUGGAGCAUAUGUAGAAUGCAUCAGCAGUAGAGUAUGUCUUUCGAUAGUGUCUCGCCUGGCUAUUAAGAAUGCCUCACUACCGCUCAAUGGCAAAUUGACUGGAAUGGCUUUUGGUGUACCAACCGUGGACGGUAUGCGUGUGGGUGAAGAUCCAGGUCCCAGAUGCAUUUACUUUGGUCGACAUGAUGGUUAAGUAUAGUCGUUUGAGUCUGGAUAUGGCAGGGAACGAAGGUGGGUCAUACACGCAAUCUUUAAUCCGAUGGAGGAUUUAGAACAGCUGCAAUGAGAGGGUGUUCAACCGGAAUUAUAAAAUGACCUCUGCAGUGAUGGAUGAGAUAAAAGAGUCCUGGUGGGCGACUAAAAUGCUUAAAAUCAGAAGUAUCAGGUCGACUAACUGGGCAGCUUCAGUGGGCUCGAUUUUGGCUAGGCUUUGUUGUCAGUUAGUAUUGGGGCCUUUCUGUUGUAUUGUUUUUUCUUUUUGCUUUGUCUCUUCAACUGUCAUGAGUUCAAACUCGAUAAGUGACAAAUUGUUGUCUUCCUUAAUAGAAAAAUCAGCUGGUUCUGUUACUUCAACACGACCCCAUUUGUCAACCGCAAGUCC
This 1948-nucleotide long non-coding RNA is filed under the name Helianthus annuus (common sunflower). The record is from RNAcentral. Lineage: Eukaryota; Viridiplantae; Streptophyta; Magnoliopsida; Asterales; Asteraceae.